RNAcentral lists this ribosomal RNA (506 nucleotides) under uncultured bacterium. RNAcentral's name for it is "partial 16S ribosomal RNA". It matches the Rfam family "Bacterial small subunit ribosomal RNA", at positions 30 to 523 of the family's 1533-position model. The record is from RNAcentral.
AUUGAACGCUGGCGGCAGGCCUAACACAUGCAAGUCGAACGGUAACAGGAAGCAGCUUGCUGCUUCGCUGACGAGUGGCGGACGGGUGAGUAAUGUCUGGGAAACUGCCUGAUGGAGGGGGCUAACUACUGGAAACGGUAGCUAAUACCGCAUAAUGUCGCAAGACCAAAGAGGGGGACCUUCGGGCCUCUUGCCAUCGGAUGUGCCCAGAUGGGAUUAGCUUGUUGGUGGGGUAACGGCUCACCAAGGCGACGAUCCCUAGCUGGUCUGAGGGGGUGACCAGACACACGGGACGUGAGACACAGUCCAGACUCUGACGGUAGGCAGCGGUGGGGAAUAUUGCACAAGGGGCGAGGGCCUGAUGCAGCCAUGCCGCGUGUAUGAAGAAGGCCUUCGGUUUGUAAAGUACUGUCAGCGGGGAGGAAGGGAGUAAAAUUAAUACCUUUGCUCAUUGACGUUACCCGCAGAAGAAGCACCGGCUAACUCUGUGCCAGCAGCCGCAGUAA